RNAcentral lists this non-coding RNA (309 nucleotides) under marine eukaryotic metagenome. The record is from RNAcentral.
CUUAACCGCGGUACUGUCGCUGAGCGGCAUUACCGUUUGUACUGAACCUUUACCAAAUGUCUUGCUACCAAGAAUGACGGCACGAUGAUGAUCUUGUAAUGCGCCAGCGACGAUUUCUGACGCUGAAGCUGAACCACCGUUUACCAAGACAACUAAUGGCGCACCUUUUAAGAUGUCAUUUGGUUUGGCAUUAAAUUCUUGCGCGGCAUCUUUAAUGCGACCUUCGGUAUAAACAAUUUUUCCUUUGGUGAUAAAGGCAUCAGAAACAUCUAUAGCCGCAUCUAAUAGACCACCUGGAUUGUUACGUAA